Uranotaenia lowii is the source of this 1248-nucleotide long non-coding RNA. RefSeq lists it as uncharacterized. Lineage: Eukaryota; Metazoa; Arthropoda; Insecta; Diptera; Culicidae. The transcript has 5 exons. The record is from RefSeq and is a predicted model, not a curated record.
CAAAAGAGGAGAAGAUAAAAACAAAAGCCGUGAAAAUAUCGUGACAAAAUUGAGGUGCAGCAGUAAAUGCAAUCCUAUAGAGCAGGACCCGUCAACAAGAAGCAUGCAGAAUUUGCCUCCAGACAGAUGGAGAAGGACAAAUAUUCCACUCCGAAACCAUGGUUUGUAAGACGGAUGGCCUCGUUUAAGGAAAACAUACCAAAUCAGUGUGCCUCGGAUGGCUUAAGCUGGCUUCUGUUUCUGCCCAAAUCGUAUUCCUGCUCAAAUUCAAUCGAAGUCGGAAUUUUCAUUCGGAUAAAACGAUUUCAGUGGGAUUGGAUGAGCCUUGCACUGUAGCAACAAAAUUAGAGUAAGCAGGAAACAACAGGCGCCAGUUGAGCAUGAAUUCAAUUAGAUUUUGGAGAAAUAUAAGGACAAAUUUACGCAGCAACAAUCAGAUGGCUGAAUUAUUCCAAUGCUACCAUAUUUGAUUUCACAUUACUUUUGUGGCACUUCAUUGUUCCGAUAGCCACCUAGAACUACAUCUUCUUAUUCCGAGAUCUGGAUCUGCGACUCCAAUGAAAAUCAACAAAGGGAAGAUGCGAAGCAACUUCGUUUAAAUAAGCAGGAACAGAGUUCACAAGCCAGAUGAACUGAAUAUUGAUGCUACUGCCACCACCACCAUUGAGCGCUCUGACUGAACCUAGUAAGACUCUAAAAUUGGAGUAGAGAACACUGGAAACGAAUUCCGAUAAAACGUCCGAAAACGGCACAAGAUUUUGUUGAUGCCACUCUCUGGGCUGAGUUGUUUUAUGUAUGGUUAGUAAUUCUCAGACCCUUUAUUCCAGCCCUUUUUCAGAGCAGCGCAAGUCACCAAAAGAAAAAUCAGCAACAUUCUCUCAGGCCUUUCAAAUGCUGAUUGAUUUUUGUAAGCAAAACCCUUUGGAGGUGAGAGGAAGGAGAGUGCCUGAAUGGAGGAAGAACUGUUAAUUAUCACGUAAUUAAUGUUACCUCACAAGAAAACACAAGCCGCGUUUUAUACAUAUGUUUAAAGUUGGUGCAAAAAAAAAACAAUAAUGGAACAACAUGAGCCAUCUAGCGUUAGUGCAAGGCCUAGCUAUAUUUGUUUAAUUCCCGCUAAUUGUAGAGAAAUGAGACCAGCGGCUUACAAGUGUUGUUUGGGUGCAAUAUUUAUGAUGGAAGGUGUAAUUGCAAUCUGGGCAACAUGUUCACAAUCCACUUUGUUGCAAUCAAUUCCAUGGAAUGUUU